UACGUAGGGUGCGAGCGUUGUCCGGAAUUAUUGGGCGUAAAGGGCUCGUAGGCGGUUUGUCGCGUCGGGAGUGAAAUCCACUGGCUUAACUGGUGGCUUGCUUUCGAUACGGGCAGACUGGAGGUAUGCAGGGGAGAACGGAAUUCCUGGUGUAGCGGUGAAAUGCGCAGAUAUCAGGAGGAACACCGGUGGCGAGGGCGGUUCUCUGGGCAUGUCCUGACGCUGAGAAGCGAAAGCAUGGGGAGCGAACAGG
Molecule: ribosomal RNA, 253 nt
Filed under: uncultured bacterium
Lineage: Bacteria
Description: partial 16S ribosomal RNA
Rfam family: Bacterial small subunit ribosomal RNA
Source: RNAcentral